GUGACAUACCACUUGUUGCCUCGGCGGAUCAGCCCGCUCCCGGUAAAACGGGACGGCCCGCCAGAGGACCCCUAAACUCUGUUUCUAUAUGUAACUUCUGAGUAAAACCAUAAAUAAAUCAAAACUUUCAACAACGGAUCUCUUGGUUCUGGCAUCGAUGAAGAACGCAGCAAAAUGCGAUAAGUAAUGUGAAUUGCAGAAUUCAGUGAAUCAUCGAAUCUUUGAACGCACAUUGCGCCCGCCAGUAUUCUGGCGGGCAUGCCUGUUCGAGCGUCAUUUCAACCCUCAAGCACAGCUUGGUGUUGGGACUCGCGUUAAUUCGCGUUCCUCAAAUUGAUUGGCGGUCACGUCGAGCUUCCAUAGCGUAGUAGUAAAACCCUCGUUACUGGUAAUCGUCGCGGCCACGCCGUUAAACCCCAACUUCUGAAUGUUGACCUCGGAUCAGGUAGGAAUACCCGCUGAACUUAAGCAUAUCA
Molecule: ribosomal RNA, 476 nt
Filed under: Fusarium oxysporum
Lineage: Eukaryota; Fungi; Ascomycota; Sordariomycetes; Hypocreales; Nectriaceae
Description: eukaryotic LSU rRNA
Rfam family: 5.8S ribosomal RNA (bases 123-276)
Source: RNAcentral